GAUUGAACGCUGGCGGCAGGCCUAACACAUGCAAGUCGAGCGGUAGCACAGAGAGCUUGCUCUCGGGUGACGAGCGGCGGACGGGUGAGUAAUGUCUGGGAAACUGCCUGAUGGAGGGGGAUAACUACUGGAAACGGUAGCUAAUACCGCAUAACGUCGCAAGACCAAAGUGGGGGACCUUCGGGCCUCAUGCCAUCAGAUGUGCCCAGAUGGGAUUAGCUAGUAGGUGGGGUAACGGCUCACCUAGGCGACGAUCCCUAGCUGGUCUGAGAGGAUGACCAGCCACACUGGAACUGAGACACGGUCCAG
Molecule: ribosomal RNA, 309 nt
Filed under: Klebsiella pneumoniae
Lineage: Bacteria; Pseudomonadati; Pseudomonadota; Gammaproteobacteria; Enterobacterales; Enterobacteriaceae
Also listed under: 1 other name
Description: bacterial SSU rRNA
Rfam family: Bacterial small subunit ribosomal RNA
Source: RNAcentral